GGGACACGUUGUAAAGAACGUGCUUUAAAUUCGUUUUAAUGCCUGCGAAUUGAUCAGUAUAACAACAGUCGUGUAAUUAUUUAUUUGUAUGUAAAAAUGACGCUGUCCGUUUUUAUCAUUUUCUUCGGCGAACCGAAAAUCUACUACCUACGAAAAAAUAAAUAAGUCAAGAGGAAAUUAUUGACCGCUUCAGUGCAUGGGUUAAAAUUAUAACAAUGAACAAAAGUGUAUCAUUAUCUAUAAGAAUAUGCUCAUUAUACUUUACAAAAAGAAGAUUUUGUUCCAUCAAGUGCUUGAGUUUUGCGCGUGAGUCAAAAAUGCAUGUAGGUGUUGCGAAUCACAGAUGCUGAUCUAAAAAAGAAUGAUGCUUUUGUAUUAAAACGAGGAAGAAAUUAAAACAUAUCUUAAGGAAGAGAAAGUUUCAAAGGAACGUAAUAGAAUUUUCAGAUACAGAUAAAUAUAGUGAGUAGCAAAAUACAGUGUCCUCUAAGUUAAUUUAGCGACAGUGAAAUAUUCCACCUAGAAAAGCUGUUCAAAGUUCAAAUUUUCAAUCUCGUUUAAAAAAAGGAAACAGUAUUAAUAUUAUUCCAGUGAAAUGGUAUGAUGCCUAUUCCCGUGACCUUGAGCUCCAUACGAAGGCAGGAAACCGUAUGACAAGUAUUCGCUUUCUUCUUAAACAUGUUUUUUUCAAGAUUCAAUGGAAUUUGUAUAUUUUUAAUGUAUGUAUAUAAUACACUAAUAUGGACACUAUGUUUCAGGAGAUAAUUACAUUUGUAUAAAUAAUUAAUUUAUAUUAUGUGUCAGGUUCUAUCAGACAGUGAGAAACUAUAAAAUAUAGUACUCAUCGAAACUUUUUGUGAAAAAAUUAUUUACCAUUGCAGUAUAUUAAAGUCUUUUCAUACUCUCUUCUUUCUUUUUAGUUUUCUGCCUUCCUGAAGUGCUGAAGUGAAUAACUAAUAAAUAAUAUAAUAGAAAGUUAAUCUACUAGUGUUAAAUACGAAUUCUUUAAGAAAAGGGAGGAAGGAAUAAUUUUGAGCCAACGUCAUACCUAUUUUGAUCCUUGAAAGAUGUGAAGAUAAAUAGAGCAUUAAUUAGGUCUGUCUUGUUUAAUAAAUUAACAUCUUAAUGGGAUGUGAAGGUUACGCUACCUCAAAGUGAUAACCGAUAUCCUCACCCAGAGAACACUGUAUUAAUCCUUUCGCUAUGGAAGCUUGCCUACGAAAUUAUAAUGGAUCUGGCACAAAUGUUCAAUUAAUUAAAGCGUGCUGAAUUAAUCAGAACGUUUUAUAUAAUCGAAUGACCGUUUCACAUUAAUCACACGAUUAUUAACUUUUAUAAUCUUCUUGCAACGACUAAAAAUAAAUUUUUGUACAGAAAGUGUAAUUCAAAAAUUCCUUAACUUCGAUAUCAAAAUACGUAAUUAAUUCAUGUUUAAUUACUCGACCAAAUUUCGACGGAAAUAAUCAAUUUGAUCGCUGAGUGAAUCGGUUGAAAACAGAUUCGUUUGUUAGUUAUACAUUUUCAUAAUAUUGAUUUAACAUUUAAUUUACAGUUUAUUUAAAUACCACCAAACUUUUCUUCGCUCUAUCUAUUAAAAGGCGUAGCUACUAUCGCUCGAAAGUAUUCCACAUAAUUUAACUACAACAUUACACGCAGUUGGCAGAGAUUUCGUCUCGAGUACGGCAAAGCUACCUAUAUUCAAAUUAUUUAAUAAGAAGAACAAAGGGUUCUAAUAUUGGGUUCACGAAAUUUUCAAAUGACAGACAAUCACGUGUUUGAUAUUCCGUCUGCUGUUGCGGUUCGUGUAAAAAUUAUAUGUUGUUUAUUUAUAAUUUUAUCGUAAAUUAUUUCAUAAAAUGGUAAAUUAUUCGUUUGGCAAAUUAACAGUAAGAAUUGUACCAGUGUCUAUAUAUACUUGUACAAACGAUUAUUCCUAUUACUCGAAUAAUUCUGCGGUCAUUAUUCGAAUAGAUGUAUGAAACAAUUGAUCACGGAUAAUUACUUCACUGACAAAAUACUCCACUACUAUGAAUUAAUUCCGAUAGUCUUGGAUAAAUAUUUAUUUGAAACAAUUCGAAUAAUGAAUGAACAAUUCGCCCGACUCGGUAACUGUAGAAUUAAUAAUUUAAUUUAAAACGUAACUGGAGAAUUAAUAAAGUUGUACUGUUAUCAGCAACCUACCAAACUAUCCAGAUAUUUCCGAGCGAUAGUGUACAGAAGAAUUUCCGGUUUAACCGUUUGCUGGCCAACUCCGCCGUAGCGGAAGUGUUAAAGGUAACAAUAAAUAGAAAACUAAGGAGAAAAUAAACACGUAUUGAGUGAAGGAAUAAAUAUGUAAGUGCAAGAACCAUGGCCCAACGAGAACAAGCACAAACAGUAAAUAAUGUACAGUAAAUAAAUACAGAGUAAACAACUGUGAAAGUAGAUAAAUUGCUGUGAACGAUAAGAACUAAUACGCAGCAAGGUUUUGCAUGACAAAUAUUUCACUCGAUUCGCUUCCGACGUCAUCGGCGCAGAUGCGGACGCAAGAAGUUGAAGAAAAUUAGUAUUUCAAAGUGUUAGAGGAUGCAAAGACACGAACGCGAGACUCGAGCAACUUGAAUCAAUAAAUUAUUACAGCUCUUUAAGACAAGCGGAUGAGAAAAGAAUGUGGAGGACAGGGAACUGCCUUUAAUUAAGAAUGAUAAAAAAGAAAAUAAUUUCUGGAAUAAUUUGGAGUAAAACAGCCCCAGGGCGUAUGAUAUUAACAAUUAGCAAGCGCAGAAAAAGAUUCAGUGAAAAUAAACAGGAGCAAAGCGAAGGAGGAAAACGACACGGUCAUUUGAAAUUACUGCAGUCGUAUAAAAAGUCUGGGCUGAGACUGGGUUGAAUGAAUGAUGCGAGCUUAAAUGAAAUGAACGAGGAGAAAAAAUAUAAGAACAAUGGAAAUUUACCACGCCGUCGGAAGAGGACUCCUCGAAACCACGGAAAGCAGGCAUCGCAGCAGGAGGUGUAGUUCUCAUAUCCAAGGGUAACCAUUCACUCCUCGAUGGCGAAUUACCCUGUACAGACGGGGAUCCAUGUUUUCCACCCCUUGUUCCAAGCCGCGGCCUGCCGCGGCGUACCCUUCGACCUGAACAAGUAUUUUCAUAUAGCGUUUCUCAAAUGUUAUGUUCUCUCAAUAUAGAUAUACAUAUAUAUAUAUAUAUAUAAGAUCCAAUAAAAUUUCUUUAUUUCGAA
Long non-coding RNA from Bombus terrestris (buff-tailed bumblebee), 3219 nucleotides. RefSeq lists it as uncharacterized. The transcript is spliced from 5 exons. NCBI's taxonomy places the organism in Eukaryota, Metazoa, Arthropoda, Insecta, Hymenoptera, Apidae. The record is from RefSeq and is a predicted model, not a curated record.